Molecule: unclassified non-coding RNA, 460 nt
Filed under: Hevea brasiliensis (rubber tree)
Lineage: Eukaryota; Viridiplantae; Streptophyta; Magnoliopsida; Malpighiales; Euphorbiaceae
Source: RNAcentral
AAAAAAUCUCUUGCUGCUUUUCAUUUUCAGCACUCGUAUAAACCCAGGAAAAAGAAAAAUGAAAAGUUUCUUUAUGCUAUUUUUAGGGUUUGGAGUGCUUAAUCGACUUUUUUUUUUUUGGUGAAACAAAAUAUAUUAUUUUUGUCAAUUAGUGGAAUUUACUUACUAUUGCAUCUGUUUGAUAUCAUUGGAGAGAAAAAUCCCUGCAUAGUUUAACUUGAUGUCUCAAUUGAAACGAGUUUUACAUUUAACUUGAUGAAUGUGUAUUUUAUAUAUAUAUUGGGGAUGACAGUAUUAGUCCACGAUAAGGUAGGUCAUCCGACAGAAAGGAUAGAUAUAUGAUGAUUGGAUUAAAAGUCUGUGCUUUGAUUUUGUAAUGCUUAUGCUGGAAAAUUGUUGUUCCAUUUGCUUAUUUUUCUUUGUGGGCAAAGAGUGGGUGGUGCACUGGUGAUCAGAGGGU